RNAcentral lists this ribosomal RNA (251 nucleotides) under uncultured bacterium. Its description in RNAcentral is "partial 16S ribosomal RNA". It matches the Rfam family "Bacterial small subunit ribosomal RNA", at positions 15 to 275 of the family's 1533-position model. The record is from RNAcentral.
GAUCAUGGCUCAGAACGAACGCUGGCGGCAGGCUUAACACAUGCAAGUUGAACGGGAUUUGUAUGGUGCUUGCACCAUGUAAUGAGAGUAGCGCACUGGUGAGUAACACGUGGGAACAUACCUUGAAGUGGGGGACAACAGUUGGAAACGACUGCUAAUACCGCAUAAUCCCUGAGGGGGGAAAGAUUUAUCGCUUUAAGAUUGGCCCGCGGAAGAUUAGGUAGUUGGUGAGGUAACGGCCCACCAAGGCG